This is a non-coding RNA of Pelodiscus sinensis (Chinese soft-shelled turtle), 454 nucleotides long. The record is from RefSeq and is a predicted model, not a curated record. Lineage: Eukaryota; Metazoa; Chordata; Testudines; Trionychidae.
UACCAACGGAUGUCAGAGAUUCUCUUAUAUAGGGACCAUUUAACAGUUCUACUUAAAGGUGGAAAAAUAUCCAUAGCAAAGUACCAACAUAUCUAUUUAGAGGAAAAGAUGGAGCUAUGUACACAGGAGAUGAGGCUUUUAUUUUCACAAGCUAAUAACACACAUUAUGCCUCGCCUAUUGGUGUCAGCUCUUUGAUUUAGAGAGAGAAGAGUUAACUUAAAGACCCUCAGGACAGAAACUGAAAGAGAUAAAGCUCCUGCGAGCCCUCUCCUCUCACACCAUCUACUGGAUCCAGGAAAAGAUGCAGAAAUGUGUCACCUAAGCAGUACACAGCUACAUAAUAAGCAUCCAAGAAUCAACCCCUGCAAUCAACCCCGGAGCCAACUCUGCCCGCACAUCUAUACAAGAAAUUUCAUGACUGGACCCAACUACAUCAGCCACCAAAUCAGAGGA